This 253-nucleotide ribosomal RNA is filed under the name uncultured bacterium. RNAcentral describes it as "partial 16S ribosomal RNA". It matches the Rfam family "Bacterial small subunit ribosomal RNA", at positions 524 to 776 of the family's 1533-position model. The record is from RNAcentral.
UACGGGGGGGGCAAGCGUUGUUCGGAAUUACUGGGCGUAAAGGGCUCGUAGGUGGCCAACUAAGUCAGACGUGAAAUCCCUCAGCUUAACUGGGGAACUGCGUCUGAUACUGGAUGGCUUGAGUUUGGGAGAGGGAUGCGGAAUUCCAGGUGUAGCGGUGAAAUGCGUAGAUAUCGGGAGGAACACCGGUGGCGAAGGCGGCAUUCUGGACCAUAACUGACACUGAGAGACGAAAGCCAGGGGAGCAAACGGG